UACAGAGGGGGCAAGCGUUAUUCGGAAUUAUUGGGCGUAAAGGGCGCGUAGGCGGCUUGGCAAGUGGAAGGUGAAAUCCCUCGGCUUAACCGAGGAACUGCCCUCCAAACUGCUUCGCUUGAGACCGGGAGAGGUGAGUGGAAUUCCCAGUGUAGCGGUGAAAUGCUUAGAUAUGACAUAGAACACCAAUUGCGAAGGCAGCUGGCUACACAUAUAUUGACACUGAUGCACGAAAGCGUGGGGAUCAAACAGG
Molecule: ribosomal RNA, 253 nt
Filed under: uncultured bacterium
Lineage: Bacteria
Description: partial 16S ribosomal RNA
Rfam family: Bacterial small subunit ribosomal RNA
Source: RNAcentral